GACGAACGCUGGCGGCGUGCUUAACACAUGCAAGUCGAACGGAAAGGCCCUGCUUUUGUGGGGUGCUCGAGUGGCGAACGGGUGAGUAACACGUGAGUAACCUGCCCUUGACUUUGGGAUAACUUCAGGAAACUGGGGCUAAUACCGGAUAGGAGCUCCUGCUGCAUGGUGGGGGUUGGAAAGUUUCGGCGGUUGGGGAUGGACUCGCGGCUUAUCAGCUUGUUGGUGGGGUAGUGGCUUACCAAGGCUUUGACGGGUAGCCGGCCUGAGAGGGUGACCGGCGACAAUGGGACUGAGAUACGGCGCAGACUGCUACGGGAGGCAGCAGUGGGGAAUAUUGCACAAUGGGCGGAAGCCUGAUGCAGAAACGCCGCGUGCGGGAUGACGGCCUUCGGGUUGUAAACCGCUUUCGCAUGUGACGAAGCGUGAGUGACGGUAAUGGGUAAAGAAGCACCGGCUAACUACGUG
RNAcentral lists this ribosomal RNA (468 nucleotides) under uncultured bacterium. RNAcentral's name for it is "partial 16S ribosomal RNA". It matches the Rfam family "Bacterial small subunit ribosomal RNA", at positions 28 to 507 of the family's 1533-position model. The record is from RNAcentral.